Molecule: non-coding RNA, 22 nt
Filed under: Rattus norvegicus (Norway rat)
Lineage: Eukaryota; Metazoa; Chordata; Mammalia; Rodentia; Muridae
Source: RNAcentral
CUUCUCUGGACAGUGCCCUCCC